CACGAAGUUAGCCGGGGCUUAUUCUUGCGGUACCGUCAUUAUCUUCCCGCACAAAAGAGCUUUACAACCCUAGGGCCUUCAUCACUCACGCGGCAUGGCUGGAUCAGGCUUGCGCCCAUUGUCCAAUAUUCCCCACUGCUGCCUCCCGUAGGAGUUUGGGCCGUGUCUCAGUCCCAAUGUGGCUGAUCAUCCUCUCAGACCAGCUACUGAUCGUCGCCUUGGUGAGCCGUUACCUCACCAACUAGCUAAUCAGACGCGGGCCAAUCUUUCGGCGAUAAAUCUUUCCCCGUAAGGGCUUAUCCGGUAUUAGCACAAGUUUCCCUGUGUUGUUCCGAACCAAAAGGUAUGUUCCCACGCGUUACUCACCCGUCUGCCGCUGACGUAUUGCUACGCCCGCUCGACUUGCAUGUGUUAAGCCUGCCGCCAGCGUUCGCUCUGAGCCAGGAUCAAACUCU
This 455-nucleotide ribosomal RNA is filed under the name uncultured Bradyrhizobiaceae bacterium. RNAcentral's name for it is "partial 16S ribosomal RNA". Lineage: Bacteria; Pseudomonadati; Pseudomonadota; Alphaproteobacteria; Hyphomicrobiales; Nitrobacteraceae. The record is from RNAcentral.